Molecule: long non-coding RNA, 713 nt
Organism: Rosa rugosa (rugosa rose)
Lineage: Eukaryota; Viridiplantae; Streptophyta; Magnoliopsida; Rosales; Rosaceae
Exons: 3
Source: RefSeq, a predicted model, not a curated record
UAUUGAUUGAACUAACAGAAGAAGAUAAGAAGACAGUCUUAUACAACUCUAAUAUUGAUUAAUUGUUUUCUGAACGGUGGUAUUGUUUUCCUAUAUUGCCCCUCCAAAUAUAUAACUCUACGGUAAAUGGAUUAAAUAAAAGAAGGGCAAAAUUGUACCUAUGUAGCGGAAAAGAAGAGGAUAAACACAGUUACUCCCACGUUCGGUUGAACACCGGAGAAACCCAAACUGAUUGCAGUUACUAUCCUCCUCAUCUUCCUCCUACAAAACCUGAUUACAGAUUCACCUAAUUGUCAUUGGGUAAUUUUGAGAUUUUGUUUUCCAGUGAUUUAUGUAGGUCUUUGUAAAGAUAUAAGAUGGCUGUCAUUUGGAUGGUCUCUGAACCGGGUCAGUGAAGAAGGAAAACAAAGACACAGUUUCUUUUCUAUGGUAUUUCCUGUAUAACAAAUCGGAGAACUGGGGAAGAAAGAAGUAUAAAGCUGUUUGAUCAUGGGAAGGUUGUGGUCACUGGUGGAAGACACAAGACACAGGGGGACGUAUUUAAGUCAUUGAUGAUAGGGAGAAGCAUAUAUUCAGGGCUGUGAUUAUUUGCGUCUUCCAUGGCUCAGUAAUGUGUUCCGCAUUUGUAAGAGUACAAAGGCUUGAGUGUUCCUUCUCGAGUAAAAGGUAUUGAGCUGGCCAUUGCAGAUGGGAACAAGAGAAGACUUGGCUGC